RNAcentral lists this long non-coding RNA (208 nucleotides) under Mytilus galloprovincialis (Mediterranean mussel). The record is from RNAcentral. Lineage: Eukaryota; Metazoa; Mollusca; Bivalvia; Mytilida; Mytilidae.
CUCGCGGGUAUAGGAUUUUCAGAAAAAAAUAUAACAUUUAAUUUUCAUUACAAAUUUUAUAAAUUACCUUAAGUAGUUGUUACCUUAUCAUAUGGCACAAAAAUCAUUCCAAAAAAGCAAUUUGUGUUGGCCACAGCUGACUUUUAAAAUGUAGAUAUCAUUGAAAAAGCUCGAAAUUAUCUCCCUUUGGUGCAAAAAUGCCCUUUUU